This 116-nucleotide ribosomal RNA is filed under the name Lactococcus cremoris subsp. cremoris TIFN7. RNAcentral describes it as "Lactococcus lactis subsp. cremoris TIFN7 partial 16S ribosomal RNA". It matches the Rfam family "Bacterial small subunit ribosomal RNA", at positions 1 to 111 of the family's 1533-position model. Lineage: Bacteria; Bacillati; Bacillota; Bacilli; Lactobacillales; Streptococcaceae. The record is from RNAcentral.
UUAUUUGAGUAGUUUGAUCCUGGCUCAGGACGAACGCUGGCGGCGUGCCUAAUACAUGCAAGUUGAGCGAUGAAGAUUGGUGCUUGCACCAAUUGAAGAGCAGCGAACGGGUGAGU